UACGUAGGGCGCAAGCGUUGUCCGGAAUUAUUGGGCGUAAAGAGCUCGUAGGCGGCUUGUCGCGUCGAUUGUGAAAGCCCGGGGCUCAACCUCGCGCCUGCAGUGGGUACGGGCAGACUAGAGUGCGGUAGGGGAGAUUGGAAUUCCUGGUGUAGCGGUGGAAUGCGCAGAUAUCAGGAGGAACACCGAUGGCGAAGGCAGAUCUCUGGGCCGUUACUGACGCUGAGGAGCGAAAGCGUGGGGAGCGAACAGG
Molecule: ribosomal RNA, 253 nt
Filed under: uncultured bacterium
Lineage: Bacteria
Description: partial 16S ribosomal RNA
Rfam family: Bacterial small subunit ribosomal RNA
Source: RNAcentral